RNAcentral lists this ribosomal RNA (253 nucleotides) under uncultured bacterium. RNAcentral describes it as "partial 16S ribosomal RNA". It matches the Rfam family "Bacterial small subunit ribosomal RNA", at positions 524 to 776 of the family's 1533-position model. The record is from RNAcentral.
UACGAAGGGGGCUAGCGUUGCUCGGAAUGACUGGGCGUAAAGGGCGCGUAGGCGGUUUGGACAGUCAGAUGUGAAAUUCCUGGGCUUAACCUGGGGGCUGCAUUUGAUACGUUCAGGCUUGAGUGUGGAAGAGGGUCGUGGAAUUCCCAGUGUAGAGGUGAAAUUCGUAGAUAUUGGGAAGAACACCGGUGGCGAAGGCGGCGACCUGGUCCUUGACUGACGCUGAGGCGCGAGAGCGUGGGGAGCAAACAGG